Molecule: long non-coding RNA, 749 nt
Organism: Rosa chinensis
Lineage: Eukaryota; Viridiplantae; Streptophyta; Magnoliopsida; Rosales; Rosaceae
Exons: 2
Source: RefSeq, a predicted model, not a curated record
ACAUCGAAGAAGGGUGACUUAAUCCGAAAAAUUUGUAUAAAUAUGUAUAUGUGUGUGUGUAUUCUUUUUUAUGUUUAGCUUGCAACAAUUACUUCCCACAAUAUCGUUGAAUUACUUAAAUUUACUAAUAUAAAUUAUCUAAAAUUGUUGUUUACAUCUCUAACGUCUAAUUGUACUCUGACCUAGCCGCAAGGGAUGCUGCCGGAUGGGAAUGGGCACCCAUUGCCUUUCGGGAUUGCAGAGCUUGAGGCUUUGAUAGUGAGUGGGCGGUGGUGCUCAGGUUCUAGGUCCCUCUAAGGUUUGAAUGUUGCAGGCACUGCUGCGAUAUGGGUUCUGCCCUGCGGCGGCGAUGGUGACUUCUCGAGGAUCUGCUGGAGGAUUAGGGAGCAAAGAACCCAUGUCCGGGUGGUUGGUUUUGCCGGAUAGCUCUGGGUGUUUGGGUUGCUGAAUCUCUACGGUUCGAUGGGAGUCUUUUGGAUGAUGGCAUCGUGGCAGUGAGGCGUGGCGUCAGAGAUUUGCUGGUCUUGGCGGCGAGGUUUCCGGGUGCAUGCGACUGUUCUGAUAAGAGGGGUGAAGACUUGAUGGGCCAAGCAACUCAUGUUGGGCUUUGGGUGCUGCUCUCCUUUGGGCCUAGGGUUUUUACUACCUUAGGUCUGGGCUGCUAUUUAACUAAGUAACUUUAGCUGUUUCUAUUUUCAAUAAAAUUCCCAACUUGUUUUUAGGGAACUAAGCACUUAUUGUGCAAUCUA